RNAcentral lists this ribosomal RNA (434 nucleotides) under uncultured bacterium. RNAcentral's name for it is "partial 16S ribosomal RNA". It matches the Rfam family "Bacterial small subunit ribosomal RNA", at positions 29 to 506 of the family's 1533-position model. The record is from RNAcentral.
AGCGAACGCUGGCGGCAGGCUUAACACAUGCAAGUCGAGCGGGCACUUUCGGGUGUCAGCGGCGGACGGGUGAGUAACGCGUGGGAACGUGCCCUCUGGUUCGGAAUAACUCAGGGAAACUUGAGCUAAUACCGGAUACGCCCUUUUGGGGAAAGGCUUGCUGCCGGAGGAUCGGCCCGCGUCUGAUUAGCUAGUUGGUGAGGUAACGGCUCACCAAGGCGACGAUCAGUAGCUGGUCUGAGAGGAUGAUCAGCCACACUGGGACUGAGACACGGCCCAGACUCCUACGGGAGGCAGCAGUGGGGAAUAUUGGACAAUGGGCGCAAGCCUGAUCCAGCCAUGCCGCGUGAGUGAUGAAGGCCUUAGGGUUGUAAAGCUCUUUUAUCCGGGACGAUAAUGUCGGUACCGGAGGAAUAAACCCCGGCUAACUUCGU